GUUUCUACCUUUUCCUCCAAUUCAAUGCCACAUCUUGCUUCUAACUGCAAUUCUGGAGCAGUUAUUUGAUCUGGGAGGUCUUCAUGUACAGGUGGAGUUUGAUGAUGGCUGAUCAAAGGAGAGCUUUCACCUUCGGAUGAAGGUUUUUUAGAGCCUUCCAACUCAACUCCUGAUUUCAAACAAUAUCUCCCCGGAGCUUGGUAGGUCGCAAUUUUUUUAAUGAUUGGCUCGAUCUUUUUUACAGCAUUUGGGAUUUUAUCGCCAACAGCCUUCUCCAAGGCCUUCAAACUCAUCCCCUUGGGAUUCUCCAAAAGUAAAUUAUACAACAUUCCUUGCAAGUCUGUUGGUUUAGCUCCACUA
Molecule: unclassified non-coding RNA, 360 nt
Filed under: Hevea brasiliensis (rubber tree)
Lineage: Eukaryota; Viridiplantae; Streptophyta; Magnoliopsida; Malpighiales; Euphorbiaceae
Source: RNAcentral